CGGGAUUGGCUAUUGGUACCUUCCUGUUGUCUUCUCUGCUUUUGACUUUGCUCUUCAGGAUGAAUUGGGCCACGGCAGCACAAGAGGCUCAAGAGAGAACGGGACUGAGGAAGGGAACCGGACCUAGCAUGAUUGCCUCUGGCUUUGAUCUUGUAGAAGAUGGUGCCUCAACGUUGUCACAGGGUCAGGAAGAACCCUAUCAGCUUGAACACACUG
Long non-coding RNA from Hemiscyllium ocellatum (epaulette shark), 216 nucleotides. RefSeq lists it as uncharacterized. The record is from RefSeq and is a predicted model, not a curated record. The transcript is spliced from 3 exons. NCBI's taxonomy places the organism in Eukaryota, Metazoa, Chordata, Chondrichthyes, Orectolobiformes, Hemiscylliidae.